Molecule: long non-coding RNA, 1678 nt
Filed under: Rattus norvegicus (Norway rat)
Lineage: Eukaryota; Metazoa; Chordata; Mammalia; Rodentia; Muridae
Description: long non-coding RNA NONRATT023949
Source: RNAcentral
UGGUUCUUUUUUUCCGGAGCUGGGGACUGAACCCAGGGCCUUGCGCUUCCUAGGCAAGCGCUCUACCACUGAGCUAAAUCCCCGACCCCUAGAAGCCACACUUCUAGACAGUACAAAUCAACUCCAAACACUACAAAGAAGAAAUUCUAAAACUAGGAACUGUAGACACCCCAGCUAAGACUUCAGUAGGUGAAGCUGGGUAUGGUGGUACAAGUCUGUGUGUCACUCAGGAAGCUAGGCAGGAGGACUGCUAUGAGGCCAGCCUGAGCUACAUAGUGAAGUCCGACCUCAGGAGAACGAGUAGAAUUUAGCAUAGUGAAUAAAGUCAAGAGAAGGAAUGCAUGUCUAAAAUGUUGAAGCACUGCACGUGGCGACAUUUAACUGUUAUCUCAGUUCUUGAGUUCUUGGAAGGCUGAAGCAGGAUGAUAGAGUUUUGAGGCCAACCUGGGCUGUGCAGUGAGACUGCCUCAAGCCAAAAAAAAAAAAAAAAAAUUAAAUUCAGCAUGAAAUAGAACACAAAAUGGAUAAUGAAAGGCCUAUAGUGAAAAGAUCUAAUGUUAAGCUACUCAGAGCUCCAGGAAGAAUUAAAGACCUACACUAACCCAGAAGUAGACCAAGGUCCCUCAGAGUACAGCCUGUCAAGGCCAAAGGGAAAGCAGCCUGAACAGGAGCAGACAGGACUCCACAGGAAAUGAUCACUAAGACGCUGGACUGUGCACCUCACGAAAAGGGAUAACUGCAGAGCUUCCAGGAACAGCAAACAAAGGAAAGGGGUUGUGCUGCAGGCAUGUUCUUUGGAAUUGGGAAAAUGCCUUCGAAGUGAAAACUCUGCCCCUGGGAGGACAGGGAGGCCCAGGGCCUUGGGCAGUAAACAGGAGGUAAAUAAAAGAGCACAUCCUGGAGGGACGAGAGCCUGGGGGAUCACUGAGAGCCCCACCAUAGUAUAAGUGGGAGUUGCUGCUAGGGUUAGACUCUAACCAGCCAAGUCAUGGGGAGAAACCAUCUGACUGCAGCACUGAGAGCCAGACAGAUCAGAGGCCCUGAUGGGAGGAACAGUUCUGUGUUCUUGCACAGGGACAGACUAGGUAAGGCCCAGGAUGGGGCUGGGAUGUGAGGCCUCGAAGGAGUUAAAGUUUCAGUUCCUGGGAACUUGAUUCGUUCCCCUGAAGAGACAAUGCACUGAGACUGAACUAUGUGUUCAGUCUAUAAUGCUUUCGUGUUCUUUGUGCAAGAGUGCUCAUUAGCUUCCUGCUGACUUCCUCCAAUUGUAUGAUAAUUUCUGCUAACUCUAUCCUGGAAAUAGGAUAAGAUGCUGUACUUCUGGAUAAGCUUGCUUGGCAUAGAACAGCUUAUGGAAGACCUCCAGAGCCCAAACCUUCCUAUCUCCUGAUCUUUUGAUUUCCUGAUACUCUCUCUCUCAGGACCUUGUCACCAAAGGUCAUCAGCAGGCUAUGCUCUGGCCUGCUGGUCCAGGUUGGUGGAGCUGUCUCCAAGGAAGUCUCACAUAUAUCCUGCUGAUACUGCUAUCCUUUAGUUAUCCUCCAAGGAAGUCUCACAUAUAUUCUGCUGAUACUGCUAUCCUUUAGUUAUCCCUGUUCCUUACAAGUACCCCCUCACCCAUACCGUUAGUAGCCACAAUAAAAAAUUCUCAUUGGACCAAUAAAUUGGACAUUCAUGC